UUUGGCUAAGAUCAAGUGUAGUAUC
This 25-nucleotide non-coding RNA is filed under the name Callithrix jacchus (white-tufted-ear marmoset). RNAcentral also lists the same sequence under 4 other names. Lineage: Eukaryota; Metazoa; Chordata; Mammalia; Primates; Cebidae. The record is from RNAcentral.